AGUGAACGCUGGCGGUAGGCCUAACACAUGCAAGUCGAACGGCAGCACAGUAAGAGCUUGCUCUUACGGGUGGCGAGUGGCGGACGGGUGAGGAAUACAUCGGAAUCUACUUUUUCGUGGGGGAUAACGUAGGGAAACUUACGCUAAUACCGCAUACGACCUACGGGUGAAAGCAGGGGAUCUUCGGACCUUGCGCGAGUGAAUGAGCCGAUGCCGGAUUAGCUAGUUGGCGGGGUAAAGGCCCACCAAGGCGACGAUCCGUAGCUGGUCUGAGAGCAUGAUCAGCCACACUGGAACUGAGACACGGUCCAGACUCCUACGGGAGGCAGCAGUGGGGAAUAUUGGACAAUGGGCGCAAGCCUGAUCCAGCCAUACCGCGUGAGUGAAGAAGGCCUUCGGGUUGUAAAGCCCUUUUGUUGGGAAAGAAAAGCAGCAGGUUAAUACCCCGCUGUUCUGACGGUACCCAAAGAAUAAGCACCGGCUAACUUCGUG
This 492-nucleotide ribosomal RNA is filed under the name uncultured bacterium. RNAcentral's name for it is "partial 16S ribosomal RNA". It matches the Rfam family "Bacterial small subunit ribosomal RNA", at positions 29 to 507 of the family's 1533-position model. The record is from RNAcentral.